This is an RNA transcript of Cicer arietinum (chickpea), 1826 nucleotides long. It is a transcript of the gene named acetyl-CoA carboxylase 1-like, with no coding region annotated. Lineage: Eukaryota; Viridiplantae; Streptophyta; Magnoliopsida; Fabales; Fabaceae. The record is from RefSeq and is a predicted model, not a curated record.
UUUUAAGUCUCAUAUGCAUGUAACCUUCAGUUUUCUAAAUUUUUAAGUCUCGUAUGCAUGUAACCUUCUGUGUGCGUUUCGUUUCUCCGCUAUGCGUUUCUUCACCAAACCAUCUGUUCGUUUCUCCACUCUGCGUUUCUUCACCAAACAAAAGAUAUUAAGUACAUCCGAAACGAUUACAUUUAUUUAUCUCUAUAAAAUCCUUCUCAUCCUUCACUUCAAUGCAAACUCACUUUAAAAAACUAGCCGUUAGUUAACCUCGUUGGAUUCACCUUCUCCUCUUCACAUCAACCAGGAUGAUAAUACGAACGUUGUUGUUAAUUCGUCUCCUCUGUUUAGUCCAUCUUCUGAUAAACGAUUCGUCUCCUCUCGAUGAUAAUCGCCAACCCAAUUUUUCAGAUUCCAAUCUUCCAUCCGUUUGAAUGAAUGAACAAGGAAAACGGUUGAAGGAAAAUUUGUUUUCUUCACCAAACCCUCUAUGUGCGUUCCUUCACCAAACCCUCUAUGUGCGUUCCUUCACCAAACCAUCACUGUGCGUUCCUUCGUAUCUCAUCUCCCACGCAACCCUUCUCUGUGCGACGACGUCUCCAACACGACUUCGCCAUCUCAUCGGUGCCAUCGCAUCUCAACUUCUCUUCCAUCCGCGCACCACUUCUGUUUUUCUUGCCAUUCUCGUUUCUGUUUCAUUUUUUGUUUAUUUUCUUCUACAAAUUGUAAGGGUUUCAUUUUCUGUUUCAUUGUUAGGGUUUCAUUUGCAAAUGUUUAGGGUUCUGUUUCAACAUUUGGAUCUUGGAUUUUAGGUUUCUGUUCUUGCUAGUGUGAUCUUUUGCAUUUAGAUCUUAAUUUUCCUUUAAUCAUCGUUUGCAGGGUUCUGUUCUUGUUCCUUUAACCUUCAUUUGCAUUUAGAUCUUAGGGUUCCUUUUACCUUCAUUUGCAGGAUUUUAGGGUUCUGUUCUUGCUAGUGUUCUUGAUCUUAAUUUUCCUUUAACCUUCAUUUGAAUUUAGAUCUUAAUUUUUCUUUUCCUUCAAAACAAGAAAAGCAAAACAAGAGCAGCAGGGAAAGAUCAAUGAGAUGAGAAGGUUAAUAGGGCCACUGUCUGGUAAGUCAUCAGUUUAUUGUUCUGACCGCAUCCAUCUCAAGGUAUUUAAGGGCACGAAAUUGGAAUGUCAAGAAGGCGGCAGCUAAAAUGAAGCAGACCCUAAAAUGGAGAGAAGAAUAUAAACCAGAAGAGAUCCGCUGGGCUUCUACUAUUGAAUCAAGUUUCAGAACUUGUUAAAACUAAGCUUCUAGCUCCCAAAAUAUUGAUUUCCCUGCCAAAUUAUUGAAGGGAAUCCUUGAAGCUCAUCUUUCCUCCUGUCCUGAAAGAGAAAAAGGAGCCUUAAAAAGACUAGUUGAACCUCUGAUGAGUCUUGUAAAGUCUUACGAGGGUGGAAGAGAGAGUCAUGCCCAUAAAAUUAUUCAAUCUCUUUUUGAAGAAUAUCUUUCAGCCGAAGAAUUAUUUAGUGACAAUAUACAGCAAGGAGCAGGAAAGCCUAAAGGACCACUUGAAAGUAGUUCAAACUUAGAUCGAAAUGGAAACAAGGGUUGCAUGUAAUCUGAUUUUAAGGAAUGUGAUUAGCUGGUCCAUUAGAUGCCAACAAAACACUAUGUUUAGAGUAAAAGAUUUUAAGGAAACAUGUAAUCUGAAUAUGGAAUGUGAUUAGCUGGUCCAUUACAUAAUAGGAAACAUUAUGUUUACAGUAAAAGAUUUUAAGGAAACACAUAAUCUGUCAUUAGUAGCUACGAGUUUGAGCUAUAAAUUGCAUUUUCACAAUGUUCUUUGAAA